This is a long non-coding RNA of Helianthus annuus (common sunflower), 1342 nucleotides long. RefSeq lists it as uncharacterized. Lineage: Eukaryota; Viridiplantae; Streptophyta; Magnoliopsida; Asterales; Asteraceae. The transcript is spliced from 2 exons. The record is from RefSeq and is a predicted model, not a curated record.
GUUUCUGAUGGUCAAUUUACUGCUUAUAGAAGUUAUGAUGAAAGGGUCAUGGCCCCUGAUGAACUUUUGGUGAAUGUAUAUUCUGUAAUUGUUUCAUUGCAUUCAGUGAUUUGAUAUUCACAUGAUAAUCAAUGUGUUGCACAAUUGGCUAUUUGAAAUUUUUUUAUUUGCUUUUUAAAAAGUAGAGAACUAAAUCCAUUCAAUGAGUUAUAUAUAUGGUUAUAAAAAUAUUAACUAUCAGUUCUUGAUUUUGGCUGCAUAAUGUGCUAUAUCUGCAAUCUGAUCCAAACAUAGAGAGCCUAAAGGCAAAACUCAGAGGAAAUCUGUGAAGAAAAAUCAGUUCAUGUGCAGCUACAAGAACUUGAGAAAGAGUAGAGUGAUUGGGAGUCUUGUUGCUGCUAUACAAAAAUUACAUGAGGUCAAAGUAGAUAGGAUGCUUCUAUGCAAGUUUCAAAUUAAGAAUCAAUUGUCAGCUGUUUUUAUUUCACCUCACCCAGUUUCCAGUGGGCUACAUUUGGAUUUCGGGGGUUUUGUAAGUGCUUGAUAAAAUAAUCCUAGGAUUUUAUCUUCAGUUUAUUACUAUUUAGCUUUAGAUGAUCAUGCAAUGUAACAACUGAGAUUUGUUUUUGAGUUAGAAAAGAGUUGAUGUUGUGUAAAACACAAAACACAAAACUGAAACUUUUGAAAGGGGUAAAACCCAAAAUUGAUUCAGUCAUCAGUAAUCAAGAUUGUUCUAAUAAAAUGAGGUUAUUAUUGAGUAUUAGACUUCCGAUAAUUAUGUGAUAGAUGUACACAUUUAUAGCAAAUAUUGUUGUCAUAUUUAGAUAGGCAUAUUGUAUCUCUAUAUAUUAUUUUGGAUGGUGAAAUAUCAAUCAACGAUUCUUUGCCUACUUUCAUUGAGCUUUGAUAAAUCAACUUUUGGUUUAAAAAAGAGGUGAAUCUGAUAUUGAGGGAUGUGUUGAUAAAUCUAAUGGAAAUCUUGAAGUGGGUAUGAAUGAAACCCAAAUGUUGAUGAUAUAGGGUUGUUUUGGGAUCAGAGGUGUUGGAUUUGCUCAAUGAUUCAGUUGUUUCUUGUUCAAAAGAAGGAGGAAACAAGUUGAUGUCUGUAAAUUUGGGUGAAACGGGUCCUAGGAACGUAUACUUGAAAGCGGAUCAGAAAUUUUAGAAUUUGGAACAUUUGCUGAUUAUACAACAGUUGUCAAUGGUGGUUAUGGUGAGUAUAUUUGUAUUUUUUAAUAAAUUGCUAUAUUAUAUGUAAUGGGUGAUUAUAGAGCUUACAUACAUUGUUUCUUGUAGAACCUUAACAUAGUAUUUAUACAAAAAUAUUUUCAGUUGGAUCAAA